UCCUUUCUUCAGUGUACAUGCAUGAUAUUACAUGAUUAAACAUACCAUUUUUAACUUCAUUUAGUUGUCUAUAUUAUGCUCUAUAUGCUAUCACCAACAAAAAUAAUGUUACCUCCGUACCAGGCCUACCAAAUAUCUUAUAUUUUGGUACACAUGUAGUAUUUUUAGCCUGCAAAGCGACUCCUAUGCCCAGUGUGCCAAUAAUGUGUUUGCACCAGUGAAGAGAUAACUUAGGCCGCGCUUGGUAUGGAAACGAUAAACCAAACAGAGCCUUAUUUUUUACAUUGUAAGAAAUACAUCCUGUUUCUUCUCCAUCAUUUAAGUGUGUGGCAUGCUAUCUUUGUUCAUGUUGCUGGCUGUACAUUUUCAGUAUUGUCAGGAUAUAUCUGAUUAUGAUGAUGUUCAGUACUACUUUGGAGCCGCAACUUUUUGGACUGCUUGAUGUUUAUAACCAAUGAGACUACUUUUUUGGUUGUUGGCUGGAGUUAUCACUAUGACUGGAUUUGUUUUCACCCAAGUAGAUUUAUAUGGUCAUCAAAAACCAACGACAGGUCAACACUUGUCAGCAGUUUGCAAUUUGUAUUACAGUAUGCCUAAGCCAAUGGUCAGACGAUGUUGUUUUAGUUAGGAAAUGUAGAAAAUGUGGUCAUGAUUUAUGUAGAUUCGACAGUCCCUUCAAACUGCAGUCUUCAACCUUGAGUGGACCAUCUAACUAUAUGUUUCCUUGUAGAAAAUUGACUAUAUGUUCCAUGAAUUGACUGAUUAUUUUGGCCCGAUCAGAUUAAACUAGGUCUUGAUUUGAAGGUCCAGCUAAGGCAGCUGGUGCUGGUUUAUUUGUUGUAAUACUAACUGUGCUAUUUAGACAGAGACAUGUGGUCUUUCUCAUUCCUCGAAAUUUUCCUUUGCUACCAAGAUUUUCCAUUCUAGGUUGUGGAAAAAUACAUGUAGCAUUCCUUCUACAAGUCGUCAUGAGCUGGGACAUAGAAGAAGAGAGCCGACGAGAAGUCGCACAGCAGUUCGCUCCGGUGUGGCUGCCAAUGGCGUUGCGCAAAGUGCAGAUUACAGGCUAGAUGCGUACGAGUCCGUCCCUACUUCCACGACGUGGAAGCAAAGGAAAUCGAGUCAAUUAGAUAGUAUAUUUGGUUAUGUAAGUUGUCUUUUGUGUAUGCAGUUUUACCAUUAUUUUGUAAAAGCUUUGAGUUUUUGAUAAUGUAAUUGUCUUACUAAUCACACUUUUAAUCUAUUCGUGCCAAGGCUAACAGCCAAGUUAUGCACAAGCUGUUGAUGUUU
RNAcentral lists this long non-coding RNA (1290 nucleotides) under Triticum aestivum (bread wheat). RNAcentral describes it as "long non-coding RNA (TAES_LNC004777)". The record is from RNAcentral. Lineage: Eukaryota; Viridiplantae; Streptophyta; Magnoliopsida; Poales; Poaceae.